UGGUGCAUGGUUGUCGUCAGCUCGUGUCGUGAGAUGUGGGUUAAGUCCCGCAACGAGCGCAACCCUUAUUGUUAGUUGCCAUCAUUUAGUUGGGCACUCUAGCAAGACUGCCGGUGACAAACCGGAGGAAGGUGGGGAUGACGUCAAAUCAUCAUGCCCCUUAUGACCUGGGCUACACACGUGCUACAAUGGACGGUACAAUGAGUCGCAAGACCGCGAGGUUUAGCUAAUCUCUUAAAGCCGUUCUCAGUUCGGAUUGUAGGCUGCAACUCGCCUACAUGAAGCCGGAAUCGCUAGUAAUCGUGGAUCAGCACGCCACGGUGAAUACGUUCCCGGGCCUUGUACACACCGCCCGUCACACCACGAGAGUUUGUAACACCCAAAGUCGGUGAGGUAACCUUUUGGAGCCAGCCGCCUAAGGUGGGAUAGAUGAUUGGGGUGAAGUCGUAACAAGGUAACCAAGGGCGAAUUCUG
RNAcentral lists this ribosomal RNA (474 nucleotides) under uncultured Vagococcus sp. RNAcentral describes it as "bacterial SSU rRNA". It matches the Rfam family "Bacterial small subunit ribosomal RNA", at positions 1039 to 1515 of the family's 1533-position model. The record is from RNAcentral. Lineage: Bacteria; Bacillati; Bacillota; Bacilli; Lactobacillales; Enterococcaceae.